CUUCGGGUGAGUGGCAGACGGGUGAGUAACGCGUGGGAACCUUCCCAAUGGUACGGAAUAACUCCGGGAAACCGGUGCUAAUACCGUAUAAGCCCCUCGGGGGAAAGAUUUAUCGCCAUUGGAUGGGCCCGCGUCGGAUUAGCUAGUUGGUAAGGUAAUGGCUUACCAAGGCUACGAUCCGUAGCUGGUCUGAGAGGAUGAUCAGCCACACUGGGACUGAGACACGGCCCAGACUCCUACGGGAGGCAGCAGUAGGGAAUCUUGGACAAUGGGCGAAAGCCUGAUCCAGCCAUGCCGCGUGAGUGAAGAAGGCCUUAGGG
Molecule: ribosomal RNA, 320 nt
Filed under: uncultured bacterium
Lineage: Bacteria
Description: bacterial SSU rRNA
Rfam family: Bacterial small subunit ribosomal RNA
Source: RNAcentral